AAAUAUAAUGUAAUUGUUGAUGAAGAUAUCAAUAAAUGUAGAAGGUCAACUCCCUCUAAUAAGCUGGAGAGCUGAAAAAGAUAGGUAAAGAACAAGAGAAAAGGUUGAGAGCUUAAAAACAAGGUGAAGGAAGAGUUGAUCCGCUCUUCUUCGUCAUGUUCAGAGGUAUAUGUAAUGGAGCUUUUUUGUUUGCUAGUGUUGACGUGGUAGGAUGGUUAUCAUCAUAAACUACAUAAAGAUAAGCAUGGUGGGAGGAUGUUCGAGGUUGUUAUGCUCAAGUGGGGACUCAAUGGCUUUCAAGAGCGCAUUCACUUUUACAGGAGUCUUCAUACCUAAAAAGCAGGUAUCUAUCACAUAGAUAAUUUGCUCAAAAAGGCAUACAAAUAAGAUUCUCUUCAGCGGGUAGUUAAGACUCUUCUGUUGAGAUCAACAGGUUGAAUGGAGAUAAGACGUCUGAGAGGCCAGGGGGGGUUGAUCACCUAAAUGUUCGAAUAAUAGAGAGAGGAGAAGUGCGUGUGGUUUAUCAUGCUGACAUGUG
This 538-nucleotide long non-coding RNA is filed under the name Gossypium barbadense (sea-island cotton). RNAcentral describes it as "long non-coding RNA (GBAR_LNC015017)". Lineage: Eukaryota; Viridiplantae; Streptophyta; Magnoliopsida; Malvales; Malvaceae. The record is from RNAcentral.